CCUACGGGUGGCAGCAGUGAGGAAUAUUGGUCAAUGGGCGCGAGCCUGAACCAGCCAAGUAGCGUGAAGGAUGACUGCCCUACGGGUUGUAAACUUCUUUUAUAAGGGAAUAAAGUGAGGCACGUGUGCCUUUUUGUAUGUAUUUUAUGAAUAAGGAUCGGCUAACUCCGUGCCAGCAGCCGCGGUAAUACGGAGGAUCCGAGCGUUAUCCGGAUUUAUUGGGUUUAAAGGGAGCGUAGAUGGGUUGUUAAGUCAGUUGUGAAAGUUUGCGGCUCAACCGUAAAAUUGCAAUUGAUACUGGCAGACUUGAGUCCAGGUGAGGUAGGCGGAAUUCGUGGUGUAGCGGUGAAAUGCUUAGAUAUGACGAAGAACGCCGAUUGCGAAGGCAGCUUACUAAACUGCAACUGACAUUGAUGCUCGAAAGUGUGGGUAUCAAACAGGAUUAGAUACCCUGGUAGUC
This 460-nucleotide ribosomal RNA is filed under the name uncultured bacterium. RNAcentral's name for it is "partial 16S ribosomal RNA". It matches the Rfam family "Bacterial small subunit ribosomal RNA", at positions 338 to 795 of the family's 1533-position model. The record is from RNAcentral.